Molecule: long non-coding RNA, 537 nt
Organism: Brienomyrus brachyistius
Lineage: Eukaryota; Metazoa; Chordata; Actinopteri; Osteoglossiformes; Mormyridae
Exons: 3
Source: RefSeq, a predicted model, not a curated record
GCGGCUCUGUGACACAAGAGUAACCGGCGGGUUCAGGGACCCAGCGGGUCCGGCGCAGCGCUGCCAGUCGGUCACCGCGGAGGCAGCAUGGCGGCGUCCUGAGUCUCAUCACCGGCACGGUAUCGUCCUUAUAGCUGCUGUAUGAAGAUACACACUGUGGGUGAGAGGGGGUGCAGUGGUUACAGACGAAGACAACUGGCAGUUCGCUCGACGGGAUUUUGUUGUUAUUCCCCUGAGGGAGGUGUUUCACUCAGGUGUUGGGACAAUGUCACUCAUACGUGUAUUCAGUUCGCUCACCAGGCAGAUUUGGUAUAAUCUGCCCAGGUACAGGGUCAGUGGCUCCUUGCCGCAGACGGCACUGCACAGGUGUCUGUCCUCCAUCUCCAGAAUGGGAGUGUCUACAGCGCUGGUGUCGACCCCUCCCCGCUGGCUCGGACCCUGUUGGCAGCAGGUGGCUGGGAUGAAGACCAGGACAGCCCUGAAAAGACGCUGUAAGGACUGCUUCUUCGUCCGACGGAGGGGCCGUCUGUUUGUGUU